This 20-nucleotide small RNA is filed under the name Bombyx mori (domestic silkworm). RNAcentral's name for it is "ovarian small RNA-3433". Lineage: Eukaryota; Metazoa; Arthropoda; Insecta; Lepidoptera; Bombycidae. The record is from RNAcentral.
UCGCCUCGACAGUCCGUCGC